Rhinopithecus bieti (black snub-nosed monkey) is the source of this 106-nucleotide small nuclear RNA. Lineage: Eukaryota; Metazoa; Chordata; Mammalia; Primates; Cercopithecidae. The record is from Ensembl.
GUGUUCACUUUGGCAGCACAUAUACAAAAAUUGGAACCAUACAGAGAAGAUUAGCAUGGCCCCUGUGCAGGAUGACAUGCAAAUUUGUGAAGCAUUCCACAUUUUU